GAUGAACGCUGGCGGCGUGCCUAAUACAUGCAAGUCGAGCGAACGGACGAGAAGCUUGCUUCUCUGAUGUUAGCGGCGGACGGGUGAGUAACACGUGGAUAACCUACCUAUAAGACUGGGAUAACUUCGGGAAACCGGAGCUAAUACCGGAUAAUAUUUUGAACCGCAUGGUUCAAAAGUGAAAGACGGUCUUGCUGUCACUUAUAGAUGGAUCCGCGCUGCAUUAGCUAGUUGGUAAGGUAACGGCUUACCAAGGCAACGAUGCAUAGCCGACCUGAGAGGGUGAUCGGCCACACUGGAACUGAGACACGGUCCAGACUCCUACGGGAGGCAGCAGUAGGGAAUCUUCCGCAAUGGGCGAAAGCCUGACGGAGCAACGCCGCGUGAGUGAUGAAGGUCUUCGGAUCGUAAAACUCUGUUAUUAGGGAAGAACAUAUGUGUAAGUAACUGUGCACAUCUUGACGGUACCUAAUCAGAAAGCCACGGCUAACUACGUGCCAGCAGCCGCGGUAAUACGUAGGUGGCAAGCGUUAUCCGGAAUUAUUGGGCGUAAAGCGCGCGUAGGCGGUUUUUUAAGUCUGAUGUGAAAGCCCACGGCUCAACCGUGGAGGGUCAUUGGAAACUGGAAAACUUGAGUGCAGAAGAGGAAAGUGGAAUUCCAUGUGUAGCGGUGAAAUGCGCAGAGAUAUGGAGGAACACCAGUGGCGAAGGCGACUUUCUGGUCUGUAACUGACGCUGAUGUGCGGAAGCGUGGGGAUCAAACAGGAUUAGAUACCCUGGUAGUCCACGCCGUAAACGAUGAGUGCUAAGUGUUAGGGGGUUUCCGCCCCUUAGUGCUGCAGCUAACGCAUUAAGCACUCCGCCUGGGGAGUACGACCGCAAGGUUGAAACUCAAAGGAAUUGACGGGGACCCGCACAAGCGGUGGAGCAUGUGGUUUAAUUCGAAGCAACGCGAAGAACCUUACCAAAUCUUGACAUCCUUUGACAACUCUAGAGAUAGAGCUUUCCCCUUCGGGGGACAAAGUGACAGGUGGUGCAUGGUUGUCGUCAGCUCGUGUCGUGAGAUGUUGGGUUAAGUCCCGCAACGAGCGCAACCCUUAAGCUUAGUUGCCAUCAUUAAGUUGGGCACUCUAAGUUGACUGCCGGUGACAAACCGGAGGAAGGUGGGGAUGACGUCAAAUCAUCAUGCCCCUUAUGAUUUGGGCUACACACGUGCUACAAUGGACAAUACAAAGGGCAGCGAAACCGCGAGGUCAAGCAAAUCCCAUAAAGUUGUUCUCAGUUCGGAUUGUAGUCUGCAACUCGACUACAUGAAGCUGGAAUCGCUAGUAAUCGUAGAUCAGCAUGCUACGGUGAAUACGUUCCCGGGUCU
This 1372-nucleotide ribosomal RNA is filed under the name uncultured bacterium. RNAcentral's name for it is "bacterial SSU rRNA". It matches the Rfam family "Bacterial small subunit ribosomal RNA", at positions 28 to 1381 of the family's 1533-position model. The record is from RNAcentral.